GAUGAACGCUGGCGGCGUGCUUAACACAUGCAAGUCGAACGGAAAGGCCCUGCUCUUGUGGGGUUCUCGAGUGGCGAACGGGUGAGUAACACGUGAGUAACCUGCCCUUGUCUUUGGGAUAACUUCAGGAAACUGGGGCUAAUACCGGAUAGGAGCUCCUGCUGCAUGGUGGGGGUUGGAAAGUUUCGGCGGUUGGGGAUGGACUGGCGGCUUAUCGGCUUGUUGGUGGGGUAGUGGCUUACCCAGGCUUUGACGGGUAGCCGGCCUGAGAGGGUGACCGGCGACAAUGGGACUGAGGUAGGGCCCAGACUGGUACGGGAGGCAGCAGUGGAGAGUAUGACACAGUGGGCGGGAGUGUGAGGAGGAGACGCUGCGUUCGUGAUGCCGGCCUUCUGGUUGUGAACCGCUUUCGCCUGAGACGAAGCGUGAGUGACGGUAACGAGUAAAGAAGCACCGGCUAACUACGUG
Molecule: ribosomal RNA, 468 nt
Filed under: uncultured bacterium
Lineage: Bacteria
Description: partial 16S ribosomal RNA
Rfam family: Bacterial small subunit ribosomal RNA
Source: RNAcentral